Molecule: ribosomal RNA, 500 nt
Filed under: uncultured bacterium
Lineage: Bacteria
Description: bacterial SSU rRNA
Rfam family: Bacterial small subunit ribosomal RNA
Source: RNAcentral
UACCUGGCGGCAGCUUACAGAUGCAAGUCGAACGGUAGCAGGAGAAAGCUUGCUUUCUUGCUGACGAGUGGCGGACGGGUGAGUAAUGCUUGGGAAUCUGGCUUAUGGAGGGGGAUAACUACUGGAAACGGUAGCUAAUACCGCGUAACAUCUUCGGAUUAAAGGGUGGGAUCUUCGGACCACUUGCCAUAAGAUGAGCCCAAGUGGGAUUAGGUAGUUGGUGGGGUAAAGGCCUACCAAGCCGACGAUCUCUAGCUGGUCUGAGAGGAUGGCCAGCCACACUGGAACUGAGACACGGUCCAGACUCCUACGGGAGGCAGCAGUGGGGAAUAUUGCACAAUGGGGGGAACCCUGAUGCAGCCAUGCCGCGUGAAUGAAGAAGGCCUUCGGGUUGUAAAGUUCUUUCGGUGAUGAGGAAGGCAGAUAAGUUAAUAGCUUGUUUGAUUGACGUUAGUCACAGAAGAAGCACCGGCUAACUCCGUGCCAGCAGCCGCGGUAAU